This 634-nucleotide ribosomal RNA is filed under the name Aspergillus subsessilis. RNAcentral's name for it is "eukaryotic LSU rRNA". It matches the Rfam family "Eukaryotic large subunit ribosomal RNA", at positions 1 to 649 of the family's 3401-position model. The record is from RNAcentral. RNAcentral also lists the same sequence under 1 other name. Lineage: Eukaryota; Fungi; Ascomycota; Eurotiomycetes; Eurotiales; Aspergillaceae.
UUGACCUCGGAUCAGGUAGGGAUACCCGCUGAACUUAAGCAUAUCAAUAAGCGGAGGAAAAGAAACCAACCGGGAUUGCCCCAGUAACGGCGAGUGAAGCGGCAAGAGCUCAAAUUUGAAAUCUGGCCCCCCCGGGGUCCGAGUUGUAAUUUGCAGAGGAUGCUUUGGGUGCGGCCCCUGUCUAAGUGCCCUGGAACGGGCCGUCAGAGAGGGUGAGAAUCCCGUCUUGGGCAGGGUGCCCGUGCCCGUGUAAAGCUCCUUCGACGAGUCGAGUUGUUUGGGAAUGCAGCUCUAAAUGGGUGGUAAAUUUCAUCUAAAGCUAAAUACCGGCCGGAGACCGAUAGCGCACAAGUAGAGUGAUCGAAAGAUGAAAAGCACUUUGAAAAGAGAGUUAAAUAGCACGUGAAAUUGUUAAAAGGGAAGCGCUUGCGACCAGACUCGCCCCCGGGGUUCAACCAGCAUUCGUGCUGGUGUACUUCCCCGGGGGCGGGCCAGCGUCGGUUUGGGCGGCCGGUCAAAGGCCCCAGGAAUGUGUCGCCCUCCGGGGCGUCUUAUAGCCUGGGGUGCAAUGCGGCCAGCCCGGACCGAGGAACGCGCUUCGGCACGGACGCUGGCGUAAUGGUCACAAACGACC